CGGGGUGUAGCGCAGCCCGGUUAGCGCGUCUGCUUUGGGAGCAGAAGGCCGCAGGUUCGAAUCCUGCCACCCCGACCC
This 78-nucleotide transfer RNA is filed under the name Kapaibacterium thiocyanatum (SeqCode). Its description in RNAcentral is "'Candidatus Kapabacteria' thiocyanatum tRNA-Pro". It matches the Rfam family "tRNA". Rfam says of the family: Transfer RNA (tRNA) molecules are approximately 80 nucleotides in length. Their secondary structure includes four short double-helical elements and three loops (D, anti-codon, and T loops). The record is from RNAcentral. Lineage: Bacteria; Pseudomonadati; Bacteroidota; Eximiradiia; Eximiradiales; Kapaibacteriaceae (SeqCode).